UGACGGUACCUGGAGAAAAAGCAACGGCUAACUACGUGCCAGCAGCCGCGGUAAUACGUAGGUUGCAAGCGUUGUCCGGAUUUACUGGGUGUAAAGGGCGUGUAGGCGGAGCUGCAAGUCAGAUGUGAAAUCCCGGGGCUCAACCCCGGAACUGCAUUUGAAACUGUAGUUCUUGAGUGCUGGAGAGGCUAACGGAAUUCCUAGUGUAGCGGUGAAAUGCGUAGAUAUUAGGAAGAACACCAGUGGCGAAGGCGGUUAGCUGGACAAUAACUGACGCUGAGGCGCGAAAGCGUGGGUAGCAAACAGGAUUAGAUACCCUG
This 320-nucleotide ribosomal RNA is filed under the name uncultured bacterium. RNAcentral describes it as "bacterial SSU rRNA". It matches the Rfam family "Bacterial small subunit ribosomal RNA", at positions 470 to 789 of the family's 1533-position model. The record is from RNAcentral.